Long non-coding RNA from Sander lucioperca (pikeperch), 514 nucleotides. RefSeq lists it as uncharacterized. Lineage: Eukaryota; Metazoa; Chordata; Actinopteri; Perciformes; Percidae. The transcript has 2 exons. The record is from RefSeq and is a predicted model, not a curated record.
UAUAUGUGUGUGUGUGUGUGUGUGUGUGUGUCUAUAUAUAUUAUCAUGUCAGUUAUUUGACUGCAUGUAAAUAGGGGACUAAGAAAUACAAAUAAGUCUGAACCAGGAAAAGAGAAACAAAAUUUCCCUCUGUCUUUUUUUCAUUGUCACUGUUCAACCUGCGCACCAUCUGUACAGCUGAUUAAUUUCUUUUGUUGCUGUACAUUGUGCUUUUCUGGCCCUUACUUAGUUUUUUCCCCCCUCUGUUAGAUAACUCCUCCACCUCCAACGCUGAAAACAGAAAUAGGUAUUGAAUAAUCGUUGUUAACCUUGUCUGCCUCUCUCUUUCUUAGUAACCCUGCCUCAGGGAGGGAGGGAGGGAAUGAGUGAGCACUGACCAAUCAGAGAACACAAUGCUUUUGUUUGUCUAUCUCUAUAAAAGGUUUGGCUGUGCAGUUUGUAUUCUGGCCGAUCCUAAAGCUUCAUCAUGUAUUUCUAUUGAAGCUUUCAAUAAAAUGUUGUGUUUGUGUAAAAU